AGAGUUUGAUCCUGGCUCAGGACGAACGCUGGCGGCGUGCCUAAUACAUGCAAGUAGAACGCUGAAGAGAGGAGCUUGCUCUUCUUGGAUGAGUUGCGAACGGGUGAGUAACGCGUAGGUAACCUGCCUUGUAGCGGGGGAUAACUAUUGGAAACGAUAGCUAAUACCGCAUAACAAUGGAUGACACAUGUCAUUUAUUUGAAAGGGGCAAUUGCUCCACUACAAGAUGGACCUGCGUUGUAUUAGCUAGUAGGUGAGGUAAUGGCUCACCUAGGCGACGAUACAUAGCCGACCUGAGAGGGUGAUCGGCCACACUGGGACUGAGACACGGCCCAGACUCCUACGGGAGGCAGCAGUAGGGAAUCUUCGGCAAUGGGGGCAACCCUGACCGAGCAACGCCGCGUGAGUGAAGAAGGUUUUCGGAUCGUAAAGCUCUGUUGUAAGUCAAGAACGGGUGUGAGAGUGGAAAGUUCACACUAUGACGGUAGCUUACCAGAAAGGGACGGCUAACUACGUGCCAGCAGCCGCGGUAAUACGUAGGUCCCGAGCGUUGUCCGGAUUUAUUGGGCGUAAAGCGAGCGCAGGCGGUUUGAUAAGUCUGAAGUUAAAGGCUGUGGCUCAACCAUAGUUCGCUUUGGAAACUGUCAAACUUGAGUGCAGAAGGGGAGAGUGGAAUUCCAUGUGUAGCGGUGAAAUGCGUAGAUAUAUGGAGGAACACCGGUGGCGAAAGCGGCUCUCUGGUCUGUAACUGACGCUGAGGCUCGAAAGCGUGGGGAGCGAACAGGAUUAGAUACCCUGGUAGUCCACGCCGUAAACGAUGAGUGCUAGGUGUUGGAUCCUUUCCGGGAUUCAGUGCCGCAGCUAACGCAUUAAGCACUCCGCCUGGGGAGUACGACCGCAAGGUUGAAACUCAAAGGAAUUGACGGGGGCCCGCACAAGCGGUGGAGCAUGUGGUUUAAUUCGAAGCAACGCGAAGAACCUUACCAGGUCUUGACAUCCCGAUGCUAUUUCUAGAGAUAGAAAGUUACUUCGGUACAUCGGUGACAGGUGGUGCAUGGUUGUCGUCAGCUCGUGUCGUGAGAUGUUGGGUUAAGUCCCGCAACGAGCGCAACCCCUAUUGUUAGUUGCCAUCAUUCAGUUGGGCACUCUAGCGAGACUGCCGGUAAUAAACCGGAGGAAGGUGGGGAUGACGUCAAAUCAUCAUGCCCCUUAUGACCUGGGCUACACACGUGCUACAAUGGUUGGUACAACGAGUUGCGAGUCGGUGACGGCGAGCUAAUCUCUUAAAGCCAAUCUCAGUUCGGAUUGUAGGCUGCAACUCGCCUACAUGAAGUCGGAAUCGCUAGUAAUCGCGGAUCAGCACGCCGCGGUGAAUACGUUCCCGGGCCUUGUACACACCGCCCGUCACACCACGAGAGUUUGUAACACCCGAAGUCGGUGAGGUAACCUUUUGGAGCCAGCCGCCUAAGGUGGGACAGAUGAUUGGGGUGAAGUCGUAACAAGGUAGCCGUAUCGGAAGGUGCGGCUGGAUCACCU
This 1536-nucleotide ribosomal RNA is filed under the name Streptococcus thermophilus. Its description in RNAcentral is "bacterial SSU rRNA". It matches the Rfam family "Bacterial small subunit ribosomal RNA". Lineage: Bacteria; Bacillati; Bacillota; Bacilli; Lactobacillales; Streptococcaceae. The record is from RNAcentral.